AUGAGAAUAACAAUUUGUACAUUGAUCCACAAAGUCCUACUGCAAAGUCUCUGUUCUUCCUUCAGUAGUGUCCCUGUCCAUAAAUUCAGUAUUGUUCAAUGUUUUGUCAGUCUGGCUGUAUUUUGCACUGAAUUUCAGAUUAUUUCUUUCAAUGUGAUCCACAGCUUUUCAUGCCUGUAUGGAACAUGGCUGGGUAAGAUGGUGGCAAGAGCGAACAGCAGAAGAUGGGAGGACAGAACCUCUACAGUCCCUUGUGAUGCCACAAUGAGAUUGCUUGUUCCAAGUUUUGUUGCAGUUAUCAGUGAUGUGUUCUUCCUUGCAUUGCAUGUGCUUUACCCAAGAAAGAUUGCAAGGCUUCUGACCUGCAUCACCAUAUUCACUAUAGCAUUGUGCUUAGGUGUCUUACUCACUCUUAGACAGCGAUAUGUUAAACAAAUAAAUGUUUCUCUUCUUAUCAGAAGUGAAAAGAAAAAAUCAAAAUGAUUUAAAAUGAUUUUGAGUUAAAAUGAUGUAUGGACUAAAUGGAAAUGACUUUUUUGGUAAAUCUUAUUUUAAACAGGAAUAUUCUAGCUGUGUUUAUUCAGUGGUGAUAGUAUAUUGAUGAGCUUCUUGACAGGUGUGUAGGAUAUUUAUUUGUCUCAGUGGCCCGUGGCCUGCAGAGCAGUAAGAUACUGAGGUUGCAAAGGCUGGAUGGGAAUUAGGUCCCAGGUUUGCUCAACUACUGACUGUAAUUUCAAGCAGAUUUUAGAGACCCCGAGAUACCAGAAUGAGUGGGAAGAAUGUAACAGUGGAAAGUACUCUUUUUCUUCUGCCAAAAUGAUAAUUUUGAGUUUAAUCCUUAGUAAAAUACAGAAACAAAUGAUAGAAAGGAGAAGCUGUAAGCAUCAAGAGAAUUUCAGAGCAAUAAGUAGGGACUUUGGCCUUUUAAAGUACCCAUCAUAGCAGAGAGUUGAAUAAAGACUUUGAGACUGUGUUUACA
Molecule: long non-coding RNA, 979 nt
Filed under: Phasianus colchicus (ring-necked pheasant)
Lineage: Eukaryota; Metazoa; Chordata; Aves; Galliformes; Phasianidae
Description: lncRNA (ENSPCLG00000000584.1)
Source: RNAcentral